Long non-coding RNA from Falco peregrinus (peregrine falcon), 1377 nucleotides. RefSeq lists it as uncharacterized. The record is from RefSeq and is a predicted model, not a curated record. The transcript is spliced from 2 exons. NCBI's taxonomy places the organism in Eukaryota, Metazoa, Chordata, Aves, Falconiformes, Falconidae.
UUUGACAGUCUUUAGUCUUCGCAAAACCUGCAGGGCUAACCCUGCAGCUCUCAGGAGCACAACAGUAGGAGGAUGCCUCCAGCAGCAACAGUGGGAGUCUGAACUUGCACAGGCUUAACCUCUGUCUGGGGAUGACAAACACCUCCAGAAAUCUUCCAGAAUAUUCCUGCUUUCUUGCACUUGCUAAAAUUCUCAUGGCAUGGACAGUUUGUCUAAAUGAAGAAUUUCACUUGGGCACUUCUAGGUUUGCAACUCUUUAAAAAGUCUUCAUCGUUGAUGUCGAGAACACCUGGAUGGAACAGAUCAAUGAAACAUGAACUGCAGACUGACUCCUACUCCCACACACAUGCAUUGCUGCAGACCUUCUGCAGCUGCUGCACAUAACUAGCUUUGGACUUGGUCCAGAGAUGCAAAGGCCUUCAGUCUGCUCAACACUGCCACGCAGACAGCAGAACUAGCCACCAGCUCACGAAUAAGUACCAUCUCCCAACAGCAGGUUGGUAUUUUAGGGGAAAAAAUCACUAUUAUAUUGCAAACCUAACACCACAGCUGAAUACUUUUGUUUGCCCUGCUGGGCACAGAUUAACUUUCAACAGACGAAGAACAAAAAAUAAGUCUGGGUUCACACCACCAAAAAGGAUUUUGUAGCACAGUUGUGGUGAUCUCAAAUCACAAUCCAAAAGGUAACUGAGGCGGCUCCAGCACUUCAGAUGUCUGUGGAACAGAACCACAAUCAUCUGCCAAGUUGCCUAUAAAGGACAUCACAAUAGCCCUAAGCCUCUGUGAGUCCUGUUUUAAACAUAAGCAGCAGAAGGUGGAGGGAUUUCUACACACACAGAGAUCACCUUACAACUGGAAGAGGAAAAAAUGAAAGAAAAAGGAGGGAAAAAAAAAAAAAAAAAAAAGGACAAGACAGACAGUCUUGCUGCUACAUCUCUCAAACUGAUGUCACGAGAAGAGUUCCCCAGGCCCAGGUCUUGCUCAGGAAGCUCAAGAGUGCUGCACGAUCUUUGCAAAAGGUUCAAUUGCCUCGCUUCCCCCUGUGCUGGAGUGACACAGCUAGCAGCAGUAACAGUGGCCUUCACAAGCCGUGAAGAACAUCACCAGCACAGAGACAGCAGAAUCGGGAGGCACCUCUUGGACACCCGCAGAACCUCCUACCCAAAGGCAUCCACGUAGACAACUCACACAGUCAAACCACAGCAAUACAGCUGUGCAGGGCCUUCUGCCUGGAGGACCUUGACCUGCACCUGGGCCGUCUGGCUGCCAAGCACAAACCCCAGGAGCAGGACUCAUUACACUUCAUGCACCCUUCUGCCGUUGUUCCCUGCAUUUGAUAUUCUAAAUAAAAUCAAACAUAUUGUGUUUCCUGCAAAA